AGAGUUUGAUCCUGGCUCAGAACGAACGCUUGUGGUAUGCUUAACACAUGCAAGUCGAACGAGUAUCUCUGUUGCUUGCAACGGAGAGAGAAGUGGCAAACGGGUGAGUAAUACGUAAGAAUCUACCUUUCAGUGGGGGACAACUAUGGGAAACUAUAGCUAAUACCGCAUACGCUCCGCAAGGAGGAAAGAUUUAUCGCUGAAAGAUGAGCUUGCGCCAGAUUAGAUAGUUGGUGGGGUAAUGGCCUACCAAGUCGAUGAUCUGUAGCUGGUCUGAGAGGAUGAUCAGCCACACUGGGACUGAGAUACGGCCCAGACUCCUACGGGAGGCAGCAGUGAGGAAUAUUGGACAAUGGGGGAAACCCUGAUCCAGCAAUACCACGUGAAUGAUGAAGGCCCUAGGGUUGUAAAGUUCUUUUACCUGAGAAGAUGAUGACGUUAUCAGGAGAAUAAGUCCCGGCUAACUUUGUGCCAGCAGCCGCGGUAAUACAAGGGGGACGAGUGUUGUUCGGAAUUAUUGGGCGUAAAGGGUGUGUAGGCGGUUUUUCAAGUAAGAUGUGAAAUCUCUAAGCUUAACUUAGAAACUGCAUCUUAAACUGAAUGACUAGAGUAUGGAAGAGGAAAGUGGAAUUCCUAAUGUAGAGGUGAAAUUCGUAGAUAUUAGGAAGAAGGCCAGAGGCGAAGGCGACUUUCUGGUACAUUACUGACGCUGAGACACGAAAGCGUGGGGAGCAAACAGGAUUAGAGACCCUGGUAGUCCACGCCCUAAACGAUGAAUGCUAAUUGUCGGGAUCCGUCCCGGUGAUGCAGCUAACGCGGUAAGCAUUCCGCCUGAGGACUACGAUCGCAAGAUUAAAACUUAAGGGAAUUGACGGGGGCUCGCACAAGCGGUGGAGCAUGUGGUUUAAUUCGAAAGUACGCGACGAACCUUACCAGCCUUUGACACAUAGACAGACACACCUAGCAAUAGGAGUGGCACUUCGGGUGGGUCUAUACAGGUGUUGCACGUCCGUCGUCAGCUCGUGUCGUGUAUGUCGGGUUAAGUCCUUUAACGAGCGCAACCCCCAUUCUUAGUUGCUAUAUUUAGUACUUUAAGAAAACUGCCAUCGACAAGAUGGAGGAAGGUGGGGACGACGUCAGGUACCGUGGCCUUUAUAGGCUGGGCUACACACGUGCUACAAUGGUGAUUACAAAUAGAAGCAAUAGGGCGACCUGGAGCAAAUCUGUAAAAGUCAUCUCAGUUCGGAUUGUUCUCUGCAACUCGAGAGCAUGAAGUUGAAAUCGCUAGUAAUCGUAGAUCAGAACGCUACGGUGAAUACGUUCACGAGCCUUGUACACACCGCCCGUCAAGCCAUGGGAGUUGGUAUAUCUUGAAUGCAGUGUUCUAACCCUUUUGGGAAGUAUCUGUUUAUAGAUGUACUAGCGACUGGGGUUAAGUCGUAACAAGGUA
This 1450-nucleotide ribosomal RNA is filed under the name metagenome. RNAcentral describes it as "bacterial SSU rRNA". It matches the Rfam family "Bacterial small subunit ribosomal RNA". The record is from RNAcentral.